Molecule: ribosomal RNA, 253 nt
Filed under: uncultured bacterium
Lineage: Bacteria
Description: partial 16S ribosomal RNA
Rfam family: Bacterial small subunit ribosomal RNA
Source: RNAcentral
UACGUAGGGUGCGAGCGUUGUCCGGAAUUACUGGGCGUAAAGCGCACGUAGGCGGCUUUGUAAGUUAGAGGUGAAAGCCCGGGGCUCAACCCCGGAAUUGCCUUUAAGACUGCAUCGCUAGAAUUGUGGAGAGGUGAGUGGAAUUCCGAGUGUAGAGGUGAAAUUCGUAGAUAUUCGGAAGAACACCAGUGGCGAAGGCGACUCACUGGACACAUAUUGACGCUGAGGUGCGAAAGCGUGGGGAGCAAACAGG